RNAcentral lists this long non-coding RNA (1304 nucleotides) under Sparus aurata (gilthead seabream). RNAcentral's name for it is "lncRNA (ENSSAUG00010014421.1)". Lineage: Eukaryota; Metazoa; Chordata; Actinopteri; Spariformes; Sparidae. The record is from RNAcentral.
GCGUGCACAUCCUGAACUACUUUGUAUUGAUGCACUGAACAUCUCACAUGUGCAGGAUGGUCUUCGGAUUUAUGUACGAGGUCAGGAAGUGGUAAACUUAUCUCAAGUGAAAUGUGCCUCUGCAGUAGCUGCAGUUUGAGAUGAUAUCUGAGAUCUCAAGUGAUGAACAUGCCAAGCCUAAUGGACAGACUGCUGAUGUGUUACUGUUUCACAUGUGUCAGUGUCUAUGGACUAGGACCUGGAACUCAUCAUUCCACCUCUCCGAGCUUUAACGAUUCUUCUAUCGGUGGUGAUGUUGUCAUACAUUCAGCCUUCAACGAGGGGAGUGACGUAAACUUGACAUGCAGCAAUAAGACGUGGAAUGAGACACUAUAUGUUAUCUGGACAAUACAGUUGAAAUACAGAAAUGAAUGCAAGAUAUCCUUAGAUGAUGGAGGGCGAAGAGUAGACACAUGCAAAGAUGGCAAGUCACUCUAUACAUCCAGCACUCAGUCAUACUUGCACAUCCCAAACUUGACCAAUGGCGACGAAGGGGUCUACAAAUGUGAGUCGGUUUAUGAAGGAGGAAUCGAUCGUUAUGAGAUCAACGUGGCCAUCACAGUUCCUCCCAGAAUAUCAGCCUGGUUAGAGAAAGAGGACAACAAGAUGGUGGCAAUGUGCAAAGCUGAAAGAGGAAAACCUGCUGCCAACAUCUUCUGGAGCCAUGAGGGAAACUUAUCGGAUGUGAAAACAUCGUCUGACAAAGAUGGAUUUUUUACAGUAGAGAGUCGUCUGGAGAUCUCAGAAGGAACGAACACAGAAAACCUGAACUGUGCUGUCAGCCACCCGUACUGGAGAGAGGAUAAGAUUUUAGAACCAAAACUCACAAAAGGUUAUUUUUGGCCACGUAUCCUUACUGUUGUGUCAAUCCUGGUGAUUUUGGCAGGAUUUUUACUUUUGUACAAGCGAAAAUAAUGUUGAGGAAUCGCUCUGCCAUCUACCGGUGGACAGCAGAACAUCGUCCACCAUCGUGAUCAUGCACUGCUUUUAAAAUUGUAGGCUGCUGCUACUAUAAUUAGCUUGACCCUCACGCUGAAUAUUUAGUUGAACUGAAAAAAGGAAACUACACAAAUGUAUUUCUGUCCAGAGAACAUGGCACAUUUGAACUCUUUUAAUUUUGCACAGUGGUGGAGGAAGUAUUCAGAUUCUUUACUUCUGGGAAAAUGCUGUAACCAGACUGUAAAAAUACUCUGUUACAUGUCUGCUUUGAAAACGUUACUCAAGUAAAUGUCUGUGAAUGUUAUCAGUAUUUAAAGUAAAAGUGC